UUGAACGCUGGCGGCAGGCCUAACACAUGCAAGUCGAGCGGUAGAGAGAAGCUUGCUUCUCUUGAGAGCGGCGGACGGGUGAGUAAUGCCUAGGAAUCUGCCUGGUAGUGGGGAUAACGUUCGGAAACGAACGCUAAUACCGCAUACGUCCUACGGGAGAAAGCAGGGGACCUUCGGGCCUUGCGCUAUCAGAUGAGCCUAGGUCGGAUUAGCUAGUUGGUGAGGUAAUGGCUCACCAAGGCGACGAUCCGUAACUGGCCUGAGAGGAUGAUCAGUCACACUGGAACUGAGACACGGUCCAGACUCCUACGGGAGGCAGCAGUGGGGAAUAUUGGACAAUGGGCGAAAGCCUGAUCCAGCCAUGCCGCGUGUGUGAAGAAGGUCUUCGGAUUGUAAAGCACUUUAAGUUGGGAGGAAGGGCAGUUACCUAAUACGUGAUUGUUUUGACGUUACCGACAGAAUAAGCACCGGCUAACUCUGUG
RNAcentral lists this ribosomal RNA (482 nucleotides) under uncultured bacterium. Its description in RNAcentral is "bacterial SSU rRNA". It matches the Rfam family "Bacterial small subunit ribosomal RNA", at positions 30 to 507 of the family's 1533-position model. The record is from RNAcentral.